Molecule: ribosomal RNA, 468 nt
Filed under: uncultured bacterium
Lineage: Bacteria
Description: partial 16S ribosomal RNA
Rfam family: Bacterial small subunit ribosomal RNA
Source: RNAcentral
GACGAACGCUGGCGGCGUGCUUAACACAUGCCAGUCGAACGGAAAGGCCCUGCUUUUGUGGGGUGCUCGAGUGGCGAACGGGUGAGUAACACGUGAGUAACCUGCCCUUGACUUUGGGAUAACUUCAGGAAACUGGGGCUAAUACCGGAUAGGAGCUCCUGCUGCAUGGUGGGGGUUGGAAAGUUUCGGCGGUUGGGGAUGGACUCGCGGCUUAUCAGCUUGUUGGUUGGGUAGUGGCUUACCAAGGCUUUGACGGGUAGCCGGCCUGAGAGGGUGACCGGCCACAUUGGGACUGCGAUACGGACCAGACUCCUACGGGAGGCAGCAGUGGGGAAUAUUGCACAAUGGGCGGAAGCCUGAUGCAGCAACGCCGCGUGCGGGAUGACGGCCUUCGGGUUGUAAACCGCUUUCGGCUGUGACGAAGCGUGAGUGACGGUAAUGGGUAAAGAAGCACCGGCUAACUACGUG